GCUCCUGGGAAAUAACCACUAAAGUCUUGAAAUGUCUUGAGUGAUUGGAGGACCUUUAUUUUUCACACCUGAUGCCUUAUGCUGAUGAGAGGACUCAGCAGGGGAUGGCCAGGCCAGAAAGACCGGAACUAUAUCCUGAGGUUUGAGUUUCUGAGCUAGGUGAUGUCAUCCUCCAGCUUGGCCGGCCUCUGCCUGGGAGCCUCUGGUGUGAAAGAGAGCAGAUUUAUUAAAAAUCAUCAACUUCAAAUUAUUUGGAUGGAAACAUUGCCAAAUCAUAGAGAAGUUUGCUACCACCCGCACACCAAGCAGCUGGGUAACUAGAAGUGCAGGAUCAGCUUAUUCACCUCUGAAAGCCUGCAUGCAACCACUGAGGUCGCCUCUAUUUUUUACAUAGUUCUACUUGGUGUAUGUAACCCCACAGAGAAACCUGGAAGAAUGCAUGAAACCUGGUAAGGCAACCAGCACAUGCAACAGAAUGAACCGUUUCUUUCCAUCUGAAUGCCUAAACGUGGACUCUGAUCCUUUCUACCAAGUCCUAAGUUUGGGAAAAGAGGACAAGGACGGGGGCUCUGUCCCAUAUCAUAAUGUGCUUGUGAAUGGCUAAAAUUACAAUGCUGAAAUAAGUGUGUGUAAUAAAAUAAUUGCACCAAAUUGAAGAAUGUUUCACUGUUUAUUUU
RNAcentral lists this long non-coding RNA (677 nucleotides) under Pan troglodytes (chimpanzee). RNAcentral's name for it is "lincRNA". Lineage: Eukaryota; Metazoa; Chordata; Mammalia; Primates; Hominidae. The record is from RNAcentral.